This 774-nucleotide long non-coding RNA is filed under the name Pavo cristatus (Indian peafowl). RNAcentral's name for it is "lncRNA (ENSPSTG00000008421.1)". The record is from RNAcentral. Lineage: Eukaryota; Metazoa; Chordata; Aves; Galliformes; Phasianidae.
GCCAUAUGCAGUUUAAUGCGUAUCUCCACAGGUUAUGAAUCACGGAAACUGUAUUGAAUCCGGCCCUAAAGUUAUUUUUUUUUUUCUUCCCAACAGGAAUCAAUACAACUACAGCUUUCAAGUUUUCCUAGUUUGCAAGAAGAAGAUAAAACUAAUAAAGAUGACUCCGAGAAAGAAAAGGAGAAAGAUAAAAAUAAAGAAAAAGAUAAAAACAGUGAAAAAAACAAGAUCAGAAUGUUAUCAAAAGAUUGCAGUCAAGAGUAUACAGACUCAACGGGGAUAGAUUUGCAUGAGUUUCUCAUUAACACAUUAAAGAAUAACCCCAGGGACAGGAUGAUACUCUUGAAAAUGGAACAGGAAAUUAUUGAUUUUAUUAGUGACAACAAGUAAGUAGAGCUCUGUACUUGGUUGAGAGGCCAUGUGUGCAUGCAGAAACGCAUCUGAGUGAUUGAUGCACUCAUAUGGACCCCAGCAUCCUGAGCCUUUUUACUGGAACACUGCAAGAUCAGGCUUUUAUUUCCUGACACAUUGUGUCUGCUUAAAAUACAAUGGAUGCAAAUGAAAACCUUUUGCUUUUCCUCUUGCAAUAACUUUUCAAUGGCUUCCACUGGCUCUGCUCAGUUGGAUCCAAAAAUAUUAGUCAAGCUUUCAGCAUGGAGGAUAUGACAUGGGCAUUUCUGAAGAGACAUGCUCAAUCAAAACGCUAUCAUACAGGUUUCCUUGUGUGCUUUGUUAUUCUAGCAUGCUGGAAAAUAAAACUGAACGUCGGGGGGG